Molecule: ribosomal RNA, 417 nt
Filed under: uncultured bacterium
Lineage: Bacteria
Description: bacterial SSU rRNA
Rfam family: Bacterial small subunit ribosomal RNA
Source: RNAcentral
UAUNGGUCAAUGGGCGGGAGCCUGAACCAGCNAAGUCGCGUGAGGGAUUAAGGCCCUACGGUUCGUAAACCUCUUUUGCCGGGGAGCAGGGCGGCGGACGUGUCCGCCGUUUGAGAGUACCCGGAGACAAAGCAUAGGCUAACUUCGUGCCAGCAGCCGCGGUCAUACGGAGGAUGCGAGCGUUAUCCGGAUUUAUUGGGUUUAAAGGGAGCGUAGGCGGGCUUUUAAGUCAGCGGUAAAAAUUCGGGGCUCAACCCCGUCCGGCCGUUGAAACUGGGGGCCUUGAGUGGGCGAGAAGAAGGCGGAAUGCGUGGUGUAGCGGUGAAAUGCAUAGAUAUCACGCAGAACCCCGAUUGCGAAGGCAGCCUUCCGGCGCCCUACUGACGCUGAGGCACGAAAGUGCGGGGAUCGAACAGG